This 314-nucleotide ribosomal RNA is filed under the name uncultured eukaryote. RNAcentral describes it as "partial 18S ribosomal RNA". It matches the Rfam family "Eukaryotic small subunit ribosomal RNA", at positions 1470 to 1796 of the family's 1831-position model. The record is from RNAcentral.
CCCUUAGAUGUUCUGGGCCGCACGCGUGCUACAAUGGCAGACUCAGCGAGUUACCUCUGUCGAAAGGCACAGGGAAUCUUUACAGUAUCUGCCGUGAUGGGGAUAGACCCUUGUAAUUUUUGGUCUUCAACGAGGAAUUCCUAGUAAACGCAAGUCAUUAACUUGCAUUGAUUACGUCCCUGCCCUUUGUACACACCGCCCGUCGCACCUACCGAUUGAAUGGUCCGGUGAAGUCCUCGGACCCAGUUGAACCUCGAGUUGAACAGGGAAAGUUGACUAAAUCUUACCAUUUAGAGGAAGGUGAAGUCGUAACA